RNAcentral lists this ribosomal RNA (253 nucleotides) under uncultured bacterium. RNAcentral describes it as "partial 16S ribosomal RNA". It matches the Rfam family "Bacterial small subunit ribosomal RNA", at positions 524 to 776 of the family's 1533-position model. The record is from RNAcentral.
UACGUAGGCAGCAAGCGUUGUUCGGAUUUACUGGGCGUAAAGGGUGUGUAGGCGGUUCUUUAAGUUUGGUGUGAAAUCUCCCGGCUCAACUGGGAGGGUGCGCCGAAUACUGAGGGACUAGAGUACGGGAGAGGAAAGUGGAAUUCCUGGUGUAGCGGUGAAAUGCGUAGAUAUCAGGAGGAACACCGGUGGUGUAGACGGCUUUCUGGACCAUAACUGACGCUGAGACACGAAAGCGUGGGUAGCAAACAGG